GGACGGACAUCGGGAGACGCCGGCCUUGCGCCGGGGCCGAAGGAGCAGCCGCCCUGGCAAACUCUCAGGCAAAAGGACCGGGUCCGCAUA
RNAcentral lists this non-coding RNA (90 nucleotides) under Paracoccus sphaerophysae. RNAcentral describes it as "Glycine sequence". It matches the Rfam family "Glycine riboswitch aptamer". Rfam says of the family: This family represents the bacterial glycine riboswitch. Glycine riboswitches usually consist of two metabolite-binding aptamers domains with similar structures in tandem. The record is from Rfam by way of RNAcentral. Lineage: Bacteria; Pseudomonadati; Pseudomonadota; Alphaproteobacteria; Rhodobacterales; Paracoccaceae.